GUACACUCCUGCGGGAGGCAGCAGUGGGGAAUAUUGGACAAUGGGCGCAAGCCUGAUCCAGCCAUGCCGCGUGAGUGAUGAAGGCCCUAGGGUUGUAAAGCUCUUUCACCGGAGAAGAUAAUGACGGUAUCCGGAGAAGAAGCCCCGGCUAACUUCGUGCCAGCAGCCGCGGUAAUACGAAGGGGGCUAGCGUUGUUCGGAAUUACUGGGCGUAAAGCGCACGUAGGCGGAUCGAUCAGUCAGGGGUGAAAUCCCAGGGCUCAACCCUGGAACUGCCUUUGAUACUGUCGAUCUGGAGUAUGGAAGAGGUGAGUGGAAUUCCGAGUGUAGAGGUGAAAUUCGUAGAUAUUCGGAGGAACACCAGUGGCGAAGGCGGCUCACUGGUCCAUUACUGACGCUGAGGUGCGAAAGCGUGGGGAGCAAACAGGAUUAGAAACCCUAGUAGUCCCAUGA
RNAcentral lists this ribosomal RNA (453 nucleotides) under uncultured organism. Its description in RNAcentral is "partial 16S ribosomal RNA". It matches the Rfam family "Bacterial small subunit ribosomal RNA", at positions 331 to 800 of the family's 1533-position model. The record is from RNAcentral.